Molecule: transfer RNA, 68 nt
Filed under: Marmota monax (woodchuck)
Lineage: Eukaryota; Metazoa; Chordata; Mammalia; Rodentia; Sciuridae
Rfam family: tRNA
About the family: Transfer RNA (tRNA) molecules are approximately 80 nucleotides in length.
Source: Rfam by way of RNAcentral
GCUGGGCUCAGAGGUAGAGCACCUGCUCAGCAUGCACAAGGUCCUGGGUUCCAUUCCCAGCACCAGCA